Molecule: ribosomal RNA, 492 nt
Filed under: uncultured bacterium
Lineage: Bacteria
Description: partial 16S ribosomal RNA
Rfam family: Bacterial small subunit ribosomal RNA
Source: RNAcentral
AGUGAACGCUGGCGGUAGGCCUAACACAUGCAAGUCGAACGGCAGCACAGUAAGAGCUUGCUCUUACGGGUGGCGAGUGGCGGACGGGUGAGGAAUACAUCGGAAUCUACUUUUUCGUGGGGGAUAACGUAGGGAAACUUACGCUAAUACCGCAUACGACCUACGGGUGAAAGCAGGGGGUCUUCGGACCUUGCGCGAUUGAAUGAGCCGAUGUCGGAUUAGCUAGUUGGCGGGGUAAAGGCCCACCAAGGCGACGAUCCGUAGCUGGUCUGAGAGGAUGAUCAGCCACACUGGAACUGAGACACGGUCCAGACUCCUACGGGAGGCAGCAGUGGGGAAUAUUGGACAAUGGGCGCAAGCCUGAUCCAGCCAUACCGCGUGGGUGAAGAAGGCCUUCGGGUUGUAAAGCCCUUUUGUUGGGAAAGAAAAGCAGCAGGUUAAUACCCCGCUGCUCUGACGGUACCCAAAGAAUAAGCACCGGCUAACUUCGUG